CUUGUAGACAAUCUCAUCAUCAUCCACAUCAAAAGCAGGAUUACAGAGACAUCUGAACAGCCUUCCAAUUCCCUGUAAUGAAAGAAAAGAAAGGUUUCGCAUCGAAGAUUCAGAAGCUUGCCUGACUGAGCAUAGGAGUACGAUAACUUAGCAUCCGGUGUGAAUCCUCUUCAGAACUGCAAUCAGAAUCACUGUCAUCUUCAUUUAUCUCAGCUACUGUUUUCUUCUUUGAUGUUUCAGAUUCCUGUGUAAGCUUUUCCCUCUAGAAGAAAGAAAUUGGUGUCAGCAGACCAUUUAUCAGGAACAUGAAAAAAAUCUUAAAAAAUUGUGAACCUGGAAUAUCUUCCCAAGGAUCUUCAGAGCUAAAGCACGAACUUUCAACUCUUCUUUCCUGAUGUUCUUUUCCUGUAGUACCUGCAAGAUCAAUCAAAAUCCUUGAAACUGUAGCUUUUGUACUUUGUAUAAGAAGUUCAGAUAUCCGAACAGUCUGACAAACCCUGUAUGAUU
Long non-coding RNA from Chenopodium quinoa (quinoa), 507 nucleotides. RefSeq lists it as uncharacterized. The transcript is spliced from 3 exons. The record is from RefSeq and is a predicted model, not a curated record. Lineage: Eukaryota; Viridiplantae; Streptophyta; Magnoliopsida; Caryophyllales; Amaranthaceae.